RNAcentral lists this ribosomal RNA (5781 nucleotides) under Triticum aestivum (bread wheat). RNAcentral's name for it is "partial small subunit ribosomal RNA". The record is from RNAcentral. Lineage: Eukaryota; Viridiplantae; Streptophyta; Magnoliopsida; Poales; Poaceae.
AUGCCGUCAAGUCGGUUGACCGGUCGCGCCUACGACCUAGACCACGGCCUGGCUAGGCUGGAGCUCAAGCUGGCGCAGCUGACCGCCACGGGGAACCCCGUCGUCGUUCAGGUGCAUGCGGUCUAUGAGGACAAGGCAUGGACGCACAUGCUUCUUCUUGCAUUGAAAGCUCAACCGCUGAAUGGGCAUGAUCCACCGAAAGGCUGCUUCCGGACGGAGUGGGACGAGAGUAGGAUAGGCGACUACCGCGACCUCCCGCCGGCGGCCAGUCCGGCCUCGGCGGCCACCAUGCAGACCCACUGGCCUCUGCCGGAGGACGGCCGAUCUGGGUCGUCCACUCCGGCCGCGCCCUUGACGGCGCUCCCACCUCUCCUCGAUGCUACAGCUCCAUCCCCGGCUCCUGCUUCCGCAGCGGUCGGUGUAUCCCCUGGAGGAGCGCGCGGGUGGCCGGCGGUGCCAUUCUCCUUGGCCACUGCCGACCAAGUCCUGCAUGGGCGGGUUCUCCGGAAAGGCUUCCUAGCGGCCUCGACCCCGGCGAUGCUGCGUCGCCGUGCCACCUACGACCUCGGCCCGGUGCUCCACUCGCCGGGCGAUGCGCUCCUCCAAUUCGCCCUGGAGUCCUUCUCCUCUCCGGUAUGUUCCCCUCUAUCCCCGGCGUCUCCGCUGGCUGCCCCUUCCACCGUCUGGCUCAAAGUGCUACUGCCGGCGCCGGCGCCGCCGGCUGCCGCCAUCGUCGCUUUGCUUAAUGGCUGGAUUGGUACGCCGGCUGAUCAGCCGCUAAUUCAUCAGUUUAGUGCCUGCUUGUACUCGUUCUCGGUUGCUAAUGAUUGCUUAGCUCAGUUCGUGAUCUCCCUAGAGGGUAUUAACUACAAUGGGAUUGUCGUUUCUUUCCUUUCUAAUCCAACCCCAUUAGGCGCCUCGCCACCAUCAUAUUUUGUCGCUACUACCACUGUUCCCAAACACACCCCCGUUCAAAUUUCUGCAGACCAAGCCAAGACUGAUGCUCCUGCCGUCGCUGGCCCGUCUGCUAGGCGUGCGUUGCCGCUCGUCACCGUAUCAUCUACCCCUCCAGACACAAACAAAAUUUCAGCACCUGCUGCUGUCUCGUCGUUUCCCCUGCCCCCCGCAGCUGCUUCGCAGCCUCGCGCCUGUCUCCCAAGAGAUCCGAUUCGCUGUAGACGGUGCUGGCAUCUGGGCCACACCCAACGGAGCUGCUCGGCUAUUUUACCCCCUCCUCCAACCCUCCCUCCAACCCACAACCAGCUCCCUUCUGCCUCUGCCUCCCAACCUGCAUCCACUCUCGUCUCCACCGCUAUCCCACCAGCCCCCCUCCCCGCCCUAGCCAUGGCUGACUUCAUCCCUUUGGUGGACGUGAGCUCCGGCUCCGAAGAUGACCUCCCCCCCGCAGCUGCCCCCAAUGCUGCUUCCCCUCCGCCCCGCGUCUUCGCUUUCCCGGAGCAGAUUGAGGCCGCCGAAGUGGUUGAGGAAGAAGAAGAGGACCCGGAUGAGGUCGAGUUCGAAUCAGGGGAGGAGUCCACUGAUUCGGAUUCGAUCCCACCAAUGUUCCCUCCUUCCCCUCCUCGCCAUCGACGUGACUACUCCAAUGUGUUCAUGCCCUAUGUCCCCAUCGAACACUUCCAAAACCUUGCCUACGCGUUUGUCACUCCACCUCACCCCUCCCCCCAAGCUUGUGUCCGCCGCGCUAUCCAGACGGGCGCUGGUGACCCUCCUGUCAUCAUUAGGGCAUCCUCCUUUGGUGCGGGCCUUGUUGUCUUUGGGUCUGCGUAUGAAAGGGAGAUUUCCAUCCUCAAUGGUCCCUAUAACUGCCCUGUCAACACCGUUGAGCUAGUGCGCCACGAAGACACCGACAACAGAUUCCUUUUCCGUCUUGGCACCGUUUCCGCCCUAAAUAUCGAGGACUUCCCCCUUGAAUAUUGGUUCACUCCCACCAUUAUCAACUCAGUGGUUCCCUUCGCCUGCCCCAUCCAGAUAGACCCAGUGUGCCUCACCGGCGUUGACUACUCUGCUGUUCUCGUCUCCGUCAAAAGCCGGAGUCUUACCGACGUCCCCCACUCCAUCCCCAUCCAUGGCUUCUCCGGGCUCGGCGCCAUCGCCACGGUUCUGGUGGUCCGCUCUCAGGAGCUGCCGCCCGACCCGGCCUUCUCCGGCCCCGACGACGAUGAGGAUGAGGGGGGCUUCGAUGGCGACUUCCCCGCCGGCAUGGCGCCGGACCUUGCUCCCCCGCCACCACCUCCAACCACCGAUGAGCUCCACGACGACAAAGUGGUGCAGCUCCCGGGCGGGCUCACCAUGAUGGCCAACCACAAGCCCAUCGUCUGCGCCGUGCCUCUCACCACCCGCCCCAAAUCCGUUGAUGUCAAGCUCUUCCGCGGUUUCUACGACGUCCGUGUCCGCGGCGCAAAUGGCGAGCGCGGGUUCUACCGCAUUCCCAUGCGCCCGGCUGGCUCCCCCAAGCUCGUCGUCGCCAACUUUGCCACCUGCUCCAUCGGCCUCCUCGACAGGGUGGCCACGGUGGGGCCUUCACACGCGCCAAUGACCGAUGCCGAGGUCCUCUGCAGCGACCCCCGGGGCCACUCCCUCAUCCCCACCAUCCACGGGGAAGACAAUGUCAUGAAGGCCAUUGCUCGGUUCGACGAGGGGCUCCCCCCGCUCCCAGCCGAUCUGCCUCCUCUCAUCGCCGACACGCCACCCUCCCCUGCCAUCCUUGACUCCGUCGUCGACCUGCCUCCUCGCGCCCCAUCCCCAACCAUCGUCUACUCACGCCGGAGUGCGCGCCUCAUGCUGUCCGAAGAACCCUCCAAGCUAACCAUGCUUGAAAAAGCAACGCUGCUCAAGAAACAGAAGCGGGAGGGCAAGAAGCAGGUCUCCGGCAACGAUCUCCUUCUUCCUGCAACUGAGCUCCUCGAGCUGGCUGCGGCGGGAAAGACGCCGUUCAGUUUGCCGCGGCCUGCGGCGUUAGGUUCCACUGGUAAACUUGCCCUGAAGCUCAAACGGACUAGAGACAUGGCAAAAAUAUGGACCGCUCGCACCACCCCUACUAAAACCCUUGCCCAAAACUGCCAUACCACCAUUGACCUUCUCGACAAGCUCGAAGAAUUUCGUCAAUUGUCCACAAUUGAGCUCUGUCUUCGUACCGCUGUCAAACUGGCUCUCCAUCGUCUCAAUGCUCUAAUUGCCGCCUACUGGAGACAACGUGCUAAGAUUCGGGAUUGUGUGCUUGGCGAUGAAAACUCCUCCUACCUGCAUGUGUGUGCCUCCAUUAGGCACCGGAAAAACCAAAUCAAAUCACUGUCAUUCAACGAUGAGCUGUUCUCCUCUCACUAUGACAAAGAGCGUAUCCUCCUAUCCUUUUUCAAGGGCUUGGUCGGCUCACCUUCCCCCUCUCAUUUCACCUUUGAUCUUGAAAGCCUUCUUCUCCCCUCCUCUUUAUCCUCUCAGCAGGCUUUGGAUCUCAUUAAACCUUUCUCCUUGGACGAAAUCAAGCUUGCUCUAUGGGGCAUGAAUGAUAACGCAAGCCCGGGCCCUGACGGCUUUGGGCCUGCUUUCUUCAAAAAAAACUGGGAUUUGGUCAAAAUGGAUCUGCUAAAACUCCUGGACGACUUUCAUAGUUGUUCGGCCGACCUCAAGCGGAUCAACAGGGCCUACAUCGUGCUUCUCCCUAAAAAAAGCGGCGCCUCCUUGCCUGAUCACUUCCGGCCUAUUUCCCUUCAGAACUGCGCUAUAAAAAUCUCCUCCAAAUGCCUAGCCAACAGAACUCAGCCUAUCAUCCCCGACCUAAUCCAUCAUGGCCAGACCGGUUUUAUCAAAGGUCGCAGGAUUGCCGAAAACUUCACCCUAGCGGCGGACAUUGUCCAAACUUGCCACAGAAGGAAAAUCCCAGCGGUCGCCCUUAAACUCGAUUUUCGCAAAGCUUUCGACUCUGUCUCGUGGAUAGCCCUUGCACGGAUCCUGCGCGCUAAGGGUUUCCCAGAACGCUGGUGCCGCUGGAUCGAUGCUCUCCACUGCUCCAGCAAUUCUGCUAUCCUUCUCAAUGGCAAACCUGGGCCUUGGUUCUCUUGUCGCAAAGGGUUACGACAAGGGGACCCGAUUUCUCCCUACCUUUUCAUCAUUGUGGCAGAUGUUCUUCAGCGUCUAAUUCUGCAGGCUUCUGAAAAUGGAGAUCUUACCCACCCUUUAAACAACAAUCUGCCAUGCCCUGUUCUUCAAUAUGCAGAUGAUACGCUAAUUAUCCUCCCGGCGGAAGCUGCCCAACUUCAGGCUCUAAAAGCUCUGCUCGAUCAGUUCUCUGCCGCAACGGGACUGGCCAUUAACUUCCACAAAAGCACUUUUGCUCCUAUUCAUGUCGAUAAUGGCACGGCCUCUUUGCUAGCAGCUAUUUUUGGGUGCCCUGUGGCUAGUUUUCCUCAAUCUUACCUGGGGCUCCCUCUGUCCACCAAAAAGCUCAACCUCUCUGCGUUCUUCUUCAUCAUUGACAAAGUGGACCGCCGUCUUGCGGGAUGGCGUGGACUGCUACUCUCUCUUGCGGGUCGUGCCAUUCUGGUUCGCUCAGUGCUUCGUGCCUUACCAAUCUACGCGAUGAGCUCGCUCCUAAUCCCAGCAGGUACUCUCCUCGAGAUUGAGAAACGGUGUCGUGCUUUUUUCUGGUCUGGUCAGGAUUCGGUUACUGGAGGGCAAUGCAAAGUGGCUUGGGAUAUUGUGUGUGCGCCUUUUGAAAACGGGGGGUUAGGUUUCGUCUCACUUCCACACAUGAACAUGUGCCUCCUGCUAAAACACCUCUCCAAACUUCAUUCUCCCGACAAUAACACUACCUCCACAUAUUUGAUUGACAAAUAUGGCUGGACUAACUCCCAUGACUUAGGGAGCCAAGACAAUUUCUCCACCCCAAUUUGGAGAGACAUCUUUAAAGGCCUACCCUUCUUUAGGUCGAUCUCUCAGGUCAUUAUUGGAAAUGGGGUCUCGACUUCCUUCUGGAAUGAUCUCUGGCUUCCGGGUUCCCCUACACCCUUAGCAACCCAAUACUCCGCUCUAUACUCCCACUGCUUGAGCCAAACCGUCUCGGUUGCUCAUGCGCUCGCAACUCCGGACCUAAACCUCUCCUUCACCCCCAGACUAUCCCACGCUGCUGAUCACGAGCUGGUUGCGUUGCGCAUUAUUUUGGCUUCCGUUAACUUGAACGAGCAGGUUGCAGACUUGAGAACUAGCAGGCUCGACGGCAAGCCUAUCACCACCAAGACAGCAUACAGAGCCACCUGGGAUACAGCGCCAGUUGAUCAUUUGGCGUCGGCGAUAUGGAAGAACUACGCUCCUAACAAGUGUCGCCUUUUCAUCUGGCUGGCACACAAGGACCGUGUCUAUACGAACGAAAGGCGCUUCCGAAGAUCUAUAGCUACUUCCGAUGCAUGCCCACUUUGCGGGCAAUGCGAGAGUAUUGAUCACCUGCUCUUCACCUGUCGGCGGCUUCGACCUCUUUGGGAUCAACUGUCAAGCCUUCAAGACGUUCGACCUAUCAACCUUCUCCACAUUUGGCAGUCUUCCAUUCAAGAUAAAGUUCGCUCCACCGUGAUCAUGGCUUUACUCUGGAACAUUUGGAAGAGACGCAACGCCAAGGUUUUUCGGAACGACAACCAAGGGAUCCACUGCAUCGCCCGGGCGGCGGCCGACGACCUGGUCUUAUGGUCCAAUAGAUGUGCCAAUAUUCUGAGAAAAAACUUGAUUCGGGACUGGGCCUCCAUGUUGUUUCAUCUUGCUGCGAGAUUGUAA